AGAUACUUGGAAAAUAUCUUUUUCAAAAUAAAUAAAGAAAACCCAAUUAAAUAUGGAUUUUAUCAACUCAUUUCCAUUCCCACCCCUUCUCCUUCGAAUCAAACGACCCAAUCUCACGUUAUCCGAGUGAGAGUGACUGUGUUUGAACCUUCGCGACCACCGAGCUCACCGGGCAGGGCCGAGGCCAACUCUAGUUUCUUCUCAUCGGCUGCAUUUUCAUUCUGGGUUUUCACGUCUGGUCUCCCUCUACCUUUUGAUUGCAAAGAUUCAACAUUCUUUCCCAUGGCUUCGCGUCGGUGAUUCUUUUCCCCCUUAUCCCCCGCAUUCACGCCAACUAUUUGUGGAAUUUCCCAAGAAAGUCACUCUGCAGCAAGUAGAGUAGAUUGGGCUUCUCAAUAUUUCCCUGGAUGUAUUGUAAUUUGUUGAGCUAUAAAAUAUGUAUUCUUUUGGGUUUUCUGUUUCCUACUUUUCUUCAUUCCUUUCUUUCUCCCCUACUCUGCAGGGCAUAUCGUUAUUUGAUGUCGAGCAGCAACAUGGUGCUGCAUUUUAUGUCACACCCACAGAAGAAUCUGCUGAUAAAGUUCUCAUCUCUGUUCCCAGUAACUGCAAUUUCCAGUAUCAAAACUGUGAAAGGGGCUUUCUCUUGUAGUUGUUGUGUUGGUUGUCAAUUCAACUUGGAUGGUUUUAGCAGCAAGAAGAGACAUUUGGAAAAAGUUCACUCCACCAAUUCAAAUGAGAAAUUUAGCAAUAAGCAGUUUAUUAGUGUUGAUCCACAGCUUUAUGACUAUAUUCUCUCCAAUGUUCGAGAGCCUGAGAUCUUGGGGCAGCUUCGUGAGGAGACUGCUUCAAUGCGUGGUAGCCAAAUGCAGGUAUCCCCCGAUCAAGCACAACUUCUUGCAAUGCUUGUUCAGAUUCUUGGUGCUAAGAGGUGCAUCGAAGUGGGUGUUUACACUGGAUAUUCGUCUUUGGCCGUAGCAUUAGUCCUGCCAGAAUCAGGGCGUUUAGUUGCCUGUGAAAGAGAUCUCAAAUAUCUUGAGGUUGCUAAAAGAUAUUAUGAAGUUGCCGGUGUUUCACACAAAGUGGAUGUGAGACAUGGGCUUGCAGCAGAUACACUCAAAUCACUUAUUUCAAAUGGUGAAGCUUGCAGCUAUGAUUUUGCCUUCAUCGAUGCUGAGAAGAGGAUGAAUGAGGAAUACUUCGAACUUCUACUGCAAUUGGGUUGGAGGCUUAAUUGUGAUUGACAAUGUUCUUUGGUACGGAAAAGUAGCUGACCCGAUGGUUAAUGACAAGAAAACCGAUAGCAUCAGGAGACUGAAUAAAAAGAUAAUGGAAGACAAUCGAGUUAGGAUAAGUAUGGUACCUAUUGGAGAUGGCAUCACAAUUUGCCAAAAGAGAUGAUGAUGAUGGUUGAAAUGAGUAGAAAUGAUGCUUUUGGUAGAUAGAAGUUGGUUCAAUGUUGAAAACUUGAUGACAGAAGGUGGAUCAACAAGGGUUGUUUGACUUUGGUAGGCUGCAAGUGAAAAUCGAAAAAUCAAAAAAUCGAAAAAAGAAAAAGAAAUGCUCAAAUCGACUAUGUCGGUUUGGAUUGAAGGUUGUCCGGUCUGGCAAUUUUGGUUUUGAAAUGAAGAAACCUGAAUAUUUCCGAUUCG
Molecule: RNA transcript, 1649 nt
Organism: Benincasa hispida (wax gourd)
Lineage: Eukaryota; Viridiplantae; Streptophyta; Magnoliopsida; Cucurbitales; Cucurbitaceae
Source: RefSeq, a predicted model, not a curated record